UUUUCCGGCCUGGAAGAUGAUGUUGAUGUUUUUGCACUCCCAGCAGGAGAGGCAACCCCUCGCAAACAGACCUCAGCUCUGGGGACUCAGCAGGCCCAGGCUUGGGCUCUGAAAGUCGCUGCAGGCUGUCGCAUGAACAGCAUCCCCUGAACACGGGAGGAGAAUGUGCCUGCAGCUCUCGAAGCCCUAAACUUUCCUCCUCCUCGGGGCAGGGAAUGCCUUCCUGAAAGUCUUUCCAUCGUUGUCUUAAUACCCCUCGGUCAACGUAAUACUUCAAAAAGAUUCUUGCUGCAAAGGCAUCCUCUUUGGAGAAUGUGUCCAGGGCAGAAGCAACUUCCUAGCUUCCCUGCUCACUGCCCCCAGCUGUUUCCUAUCCAGACCCAUCGCCGCCCUCAGGGGACCUGGUUAAGUACCCGAGGAUCACACCCCUGUUGAAUCCCAGAGUCGCUUAGAAGCA
RNAcentral lists this long non-coding RNA (457 nucleotides) under Equus caballus (horse). RNAcentral describes it as "lncRNA (ENSECAG00000048552.1)". Lineage: Eukaryota; Metazoa; Chordata; Mammalia; Perissodactyla; Equidae. The record is from RNAcentral.